Molecule: ribosomal RNA, 382 nt
Filed under: uncultured bacterium
Lineage: Bacteria
Description: bacterial SSU rRNA
Rfam family: Bacterial small subunit ribosomal RNA
Source: RNAcentral
AUUGAACGCUGGCGGCAUGCCUUACACAUGCAAGUCGAACGGCAGCACGGGAGCAAUCCUGGUGGCGAGUGGCGAACGGGUGAGUAAUAUAUCGGAACGUGCCCAGUCGUGGGGAUAACGUAGCGAAAGCUACGCUAAUACCGCAUACUAUCUAUGGAUGAAAGCGGGGGGAUCGCAAGACCUCGCGCGAUUGGAGCGGCCGAUAUCAGAUUAGGUAGUUGGUGAGGUAAAGGCUCACCAAGCCGACGAUCUGUAGCUGGUCUGAGAGGACGACCAGCCACACUGGGACUGAGACACGGCCCAGACUCCUACGGGAGGCAGCAGUGGGGAAUUUUGGACAAUGGGCGCAAGCCUGAUCCAGCAAUGCCGCGUGCAGGAUGAA